This is a long non-coding RNA of Hemibagrus wyckioides, 819 nucleotides long. RefSeq lists it as uncharacterized. The record is from RefSeq and is a predicted model, not a curated record. The transcript is spliced from 3 exons. Lineage: Eukaryota; Metazoa; Chordata; Actinopteri; Siluriformes; Bagridae.
GACUCACAGCUUUCUCCUCCACCCAUCCCCUUCUCCCACACCAUCUCCCUCUCCCUCUCUCUGUUCUUGUAAUUGAGACAGUCCAGAUUGCAUGCUGAUCAGAAAGAGGGAAGCAGCUGCUAUCUCAUCCUCAUGCAGGGUCAAUGGGACUCUGCAAUCUAUUCCAGGGGACUAGGUGGGGGAUACACUGGAUACGGUGCCAAACCACUGGUGUGUACAAUCACACACCAUGGGCAAUUUAGAGAUGACAAUCAGCCUAGAACACUUCCAAGUCUUUGAAUUGGAAAUUGGAGUACACAAAGGAAACCCCCAAGCAAACAUCAUGAACACAGGGCAGAAGUGGAAAUUGAACCCCAACCCAAAAGCUCAGAGUGGUGCAUACUGGGCUGUAGAUGCAGAUUGGGACAUGUUUUGGGAAUAAAAAAAUAAAACUAAAAUGGAGAAACAUAACCACACACUGUUCCUUUGGACAAUCCCAAUGAUCAUUAAUACACAUUUGAACCAAAACUAAAGGAACAUUUGAUUAGUUUGUACCAAACAGGCUAGAUAAGCCCCGAGAUGACCAGGGUAGAACAGAAUUUGUGUCCUGCAAGUAUUCGGGGUCAUUUUCUUACUAUCUAAUCUCAAGGCUUAACCUCCAGAGAGAGAUCUGGAGAUCUGAACUAAAAUAUCCUGCUUAGCAGAAUUCACAAGAGGCCCCAUAACCAUAAAAUAGAAAACAUGAUGUUUGUAUGUGGCUACUUUCUUCCUUUUUUUUUUUUUUUUUACUUUUUCUAAAUAUCUUGAUAAUGGUUUACAUGACCAAGAAGAUGAUUUUGC